This 440-nucleotide ribosomal RNA is filed under the name uncultured bacterium. Its description in RNAcentral is "partial 16S ribosomal RNA". It matches the Rfam family "Bacterial small subunit ribosomal RNA", at positions 338 to 795 of the family's 1533-position model. The record is from RNAcentral.
CCUACGGGAGGCUGCAGUGGGGAAUAUUGCACAAUGGGGGAAACCCUGAUGCAGCGACGCCGCGUGAGCGAUGAAGUAUUUCGGUAUGUAAAACUCUAUCAGCAUGGAAGAAGAUGACUGUACCUGACUAAGAAGCCCCGGCUAACUACGUGCCAGCAGCCGCGGUAAUACGUAGGGGGCAAGCGUUAUCCGGAUUUACUGGGUGUAAGGGGAGCGUAGACGGCGUUGCAAGCCAGAUGUGAAAGCCCGGGGCUCAACCCUGGAAUUGCAUUUGGAACUGGGUGGCUGGAGUGUCGGAGAGGCAGGCGGAAUUCCUAGUGUAGCGGUGAAAUGCGUAGAUAUUAGGAGGAACACCAGUGGCGAAGGCGGCCUGCUGGACGAUGACUGACGUUGAGGCUCGAAAGCGUGGGGAGCAAACAGGAUUAGAUACCCGUGUAGUC